AUUGCUUCAUGGCCUUUUGGCUAAGAUCGAGUGUAGUGCCUGCUCUUAUCAGUUUAAUACCUAGGGAACUGGUAAAAAUCCUGUUUUUGAGUAUUUAGGUCAAACAGGACAGCUAAGAGAGAUACUCAGUUUACUAACUAGCUUGGGGGUAUUUAAAGUUCUUACUAAAGUCUGGGGAGAUAAGUCCCAAGGCCU
This is a small nuclear RNA of Manis pentadactyla (Chinese pangolin), 195 nucleotides long. RefSeq annotates it as U2 spliceosomal RNA. The record is from RefSeq and is a predicted model, not a curated record. NCBI's taxonomy places the organism in Eukaryota, Metazoa, Chordata, Mammalia, Pholidota, Manidae. The transcript has a single exon.